This 468-nucleotide ribosomal RNA is filed under the name uncultured bacterium. RNAcentral describes it as "partial 16S ribosomal RNA". It matches the Rfam family "Bacterial small subunit ribosomal RNA", at positions 28 to 507 of the family's 1533-position model. The record is from RNAcentral.
GACGAACGCUGGCGGCGUGCUUAACACAUGCAAGUCGAACGGAAAGGCCCUGCUUUUGUGGGGUACUCGAGUGGAGCGCGGGAGUGAAACGCGAGAAUAACCUGCCCAUGACUUUGGGAUAACUUCGGGAAACUGGGUCUUAUACCAGAUAGGAGCUCCUGCUGCGUGGUGGGUGUUGGAGAGUUUCGGCGGUUGGGGAUGGACUCGCGGCUUAUCAGCUUGUUGGUGGGGUAGUGGCUUACCAAGGCUUUGACGGGUAGCCGGCCUGAGAGGGUGACCGGCCACAUUGGGACUGAGAUACGGCCCAGACUCCUACGGGAGGCAGCAGUGGGGAAUAUUGCACAAUGGGCGGAAGCCUGAUGCAGCAACGCCGCGUGCGGGAUGACGGCCUUCGGGUUGUAAACCUCUUUCGGCUGGGACGAAGCGAGAGUGACGGUAACUGGUGAAGAAGCACCGGCUAACUACGUG